GGGUUGUGAGGUUAAGCGACUAAGCGUACACGGUGGAUGCCCUGGCAGUCAGAGGCGAUGAAGGACGUGCUAAUCUGCGAUAAGCGUCGGUAAGGUGAUAUGAACCGUUAUAACCGGCGAUUUCCGAAUGGGGAAACCCAGUGUGUUUCGACACACUAUCAUUAACUGAAUCCAUAGGUUAAUGAGGCGAACCGGGGGAACUGAAACAUCUAAGUACCCCGAGGAAAAGAAAUCAACCGAGAUUCCCCCAGUAGCGGCGAGCGAACGGGGAGGAGCCCAGAGCCUGAAUCAGUGUGUGUGUUAGUGGAAGCGUCUGGAAAGGCGCGCGAUACAGGGUGACAGCCCCGUACACAAAAAUGCACAUGCUGUGAGCUCGAUGAGUAGGGCGGGACACGUGGUAUCCUGUCUGAAUAUGGGGGGACCAUCCUCCAAGGCUAAAUACUCCUGACUGACCGAUAGUGAACCAGUACCGUGAGGGAAAGGCGAAAAGAACCCCGGCGAGGGGAGUGAAAAAGAACCUGAAACCGUGUACGUACAAGCAGUGGGAGCACGCUUCGGCGUGUGACUGCGUACCUUUUGUAUAAUGGGUCAGCGACUUAUAUUCUGUAGCAAGGUUAACCGAAUAGGGGAGCCGAAGGGAAACCGAGUCUUAACUGGGCGUUAAGUUGCAGGGUAUAGACCCGAAACCCGGUGAUCUAGCCAUGGGCAGGUUGAAGGUUGGGUAACACUAACUGGAGGACCGAACCGACUAAUGUUGAAAAAUUAGCGGAUGACUUGUGGCUGGGGGUGAAAGGCCAAUCAAACCGGGAGAUAGCUGGUUCUCCCCGAAAGCUAUUUAGGUAGCGCCUCGUGAAUUCAUCUCCGGGGGUAGAGCACUGUUUCGGCAAGGGGGUCAUCCCGACUUACCAACCCGAUGCAAACUGCGAAUACCGGAGAAUGUUAUCACGGGAGACACACGGCGGGUGCUAACGUCCGUCGUGAAGAGGGAAACAACCCAGACCGCCAGCUAAGGUCCCAAAGUCAUGGUUAAGUGGGAAACGAUGUGGGAAGGCCCAGACAGCCAGGAUGUUGGCUUAGAAGCAGCCAUCAUUUAAAGAAAGCGUAAUAGCUCACUGGUCGAGUCGGCCUGCGCGGAAGAUGUAACGGGGCUAAACCAUGCACCGAAGCUGCGGCAGCGACGCUGAUGCGUUGUUGGGUAGGGGAGCGUUCUGUAAGCCUGUGAAGGUGUACUGUGAGGUAUGCUGGAGGUAUCAGAAGUGCGAAUGCUGACAUAAGUAACGAUAAAGCGGGUGAAAAGCCCGCUCGCCGGAAGACCAAGGGUUCCUGUCCAACGUUAAUCGGGGCAGGGUGAGUCGACCCCUAAGGCGAGGCCGAAAGGCGUAGUCGAUGGGAAACAGGUUAAUAUUCCUGUACUUGGUGUUACUGCGAAGGGGGGACGGAGAAGGCUAUGUUGGCCGGGCGACGGUUGUCCCGGUUUAAGCGUGUAGGCUGGUUUUCCAGGCAAAUCCGGAAAAUCAAGGCCGAGGCGUGAUGACGAGGCACUACGGUGCUGAAGCAACAAAUGCCCUGCUUCCAGGAAAAGCCUCUAAGCAUCAGGUAACAUCAAAUCGUACCCCAAACCGACACAGGUGGUCAGGUAGAGAAUACCAAGGCGCUUGAGAGAACUCGGGUGAAGGAACUAGGCAAAAUGGUGCCGUAACUUCGGGAGAAGGCACGCUGAUAUGUAGGUGAAGUCCCUCGCGGAUGGAGCUGAAAUCAGUCGAAGAUACCAGCUGGCUGCAACUGUUUAUUAAAAACACAGCACUGUGCAAACACGAAAGUGGACGUAUACGGUGUGACGCCUGCCCGGUGCCGGAAGGUUAAUUGAUGGGGUCAGCGCAAGCGAAGCUCUUGAUCGAAGCCCCGGUAAACGGCGGCCGUAACUAUAACGGUCCUAAGGUAGCGAAAUUCCUUGUCGGGUAAGUUCCGACCUGCACGAAUGGCGUAAUGAUGGCCAGGCUGUCUCCACCCGAGACUCAGUGAAAUUGAACUCGCUGUGAAGAUGCAGUGUACCCGCGGCAAGACGGAAAGACCCCGUGAACCUUUACUAUAGCUUGACACUGAACAUUGAGCCUUGAUGUGUAGGAUAGGUGGGAGGCUUAGAAGUGUGGACGCCAGUCUGCAUGGAGCCGACCUUGAAAUACCACCCUUUAAUGUUUGAUGUUCUAACGUGGACCCGUGAUCCGGGUUGCGGACAGUGUCUGGUGGGUAGUUUGACUGGGGCGGUCUCCUCCUAAAGAGUAACGGAGGAGCACGAAGGUUGGCUAAUCCUGGUCGGACAUCAGGAGGUUAGUGCAAUGGCAUAAGCCAGCUUGACUGCGAGCGUGACGGCGCGAGCAGGUGCGAAAGCAGGUCAUAGUGAUCCGGUGGUUCUGAAUGGAAGGGCCAUCGCUCAACGGAUAAAAGGUACUCCGGGGAUAACAGGCUGAUACCGCCCAAGAGUUCAUAUCGACGGCGGUGUUUGGCACCUCGAUGUCGGCUCAUCACAUCCUGGGGCUGAAGUAGGUCCCAAGGGUAUGGCUGUUCGCCAUUUAAAGUGGUACGCGAGCUGGGUUUAGAACGUCGUGAGACAGUUCGGUCCCUAUCUGCCGUGGGCGCUGGAGAACUGAGGGGGGCUGCUCCUAGUACGAGAGGACCGGAGUGGACGCAUCACUGGUGUUCGGGUUGUCAUGCCAAUGGCACUGCCCGGUAGCUAAAUGCGGAAGAGAUAAGUGCUGAAAGCAUCUAAGCACGAAACUUGCCCCGAGAUGAGUUCUCCCUGACCCUUUAAGGGUCCUGAAGGAACGUUGAAGACGACGACGUUGAUAGGCCGGGUGUGUAAGCGCAGCGAUGCGUUGAGCUAACCGGUACUAAUGAACCGUGAGGCUUAACCUUACAACGCCGAAG
This 2925-nucleotide ribosomal RNA is filed under the name Escherichia coli. Its description in RNAcentral is "23S ribosomal RNA". It matches the Rfam family "Bacterial large subunit ribosomal RNA". The record is from RNAcentral. Lineage: Bacteria; Pseudomonadati; Pseudomonadota; Gammaproteobacteria; Enterobacterales; Enterobacteriaceae.